Molecule: ribosomal RNA, 231 nt
Filed under: uncultured bacterium
Lineage: Bacteria
Description: partial 16S ribosomal RNA
Rfam family: Bacterial small subunit ribosomal RNA
Source: RNAcentral
CGGAGGGUGAGUAAUGUCUGGGAAACUGCCUGAUGGAGGGGGAUAACUACUGGAAACGGUAGCUAAUACCGCAUAACGUCGCAAGACCAAAGAGGGGGACCUUCGGGCCUCUUGCCAUCGGAUGUGCCCAGAUGGGAUUAGCUAGUAGGUGGGGUAACGGCUCACCUAGGCGACGAUCCCUAGCUGGUCUGAGAGGAUGACCAGCCACACUGGAACUGAGACACGGUCCAG